Molecule: long non-coding RNA, 976 nt
Organism: Scylla paramamosain (green mud crab)
Lineage: Eukaryota; Metazoa; Arthropoda; Malacostraca; Decapoda; Portunidae
Exons: 6
Source: RefSeq, a predicted model, not a curated record
UUCGCAUGCGGGUACUGACACUAGAAUGUAGAAUCUUUCUAGUAUUGUUGCAACAAAUAUAAGUGUGCUGAGGAUGACAAUAUUGCAUCUCAACUUUUAUUUUCGUUAUUAUAAAUAAAGAAAAAUAAUAUAACUGAAUGGUGGACGAGAAUCUUAGAACUAGUACUGUUGAAAGCCAUCAGUCGAGGUCCAGCCACGUCACGUGAGAGGACUGUGGCUAGCUAAGGUGGAGUGAGAUACUGAAGGUACUCAAAAUUGCAGAUUAAUUUAUGUUUUGUGACAGCACCAAAGUACCCGAGGAUCAUGAAGCAACGAAAGAAAGAGAGUAGCAAGCCUGACAGGAAGCCAUGAGCGUUGCCACGCCACCUCAAGACGAGAGGCAAGGUAGUGGUCGGGGUGUCACUGUGGCUCGCUCCCCCUCAUGGUGACCAGCAGCGGCAGUGUUCCAGAGGCGCCACUUAACAAUUUGUGGUAGCUGGGCGGCCGGCGUGCAGCAGGCGGCGCCACCUGACCUGUGUUGGGCCUGGAUGGUGAGGAUAGUGUCAUCAGCCUGCGCGGAUCACCGCCCCUGCCCCUCGUCUCCCAUUGAGUGAUGGCGGCUGGCAGUCAAGGUCCUCAAGGCGGCAGCGGAAGGGAAGGCGCCCCCCUUACCCCCAUGCCCUGCGGCCCACACUCCACCAGGAACGCACCGGGAUCUAACCACUGGGGACAGGCAGGAUGUGGCCAUGGGGAGACACUCAGGAUGUGGCCAUAGGGAGGCAGUCAGAAUGUGGCCAUGGGGGGACAGUCAAGAUGUGGCCAUGGGGAGAAAGGCAGGAUGUGGCCAUGGAGAGCCAGUCAGAAUGUGGCCAUGGGAGGACAAGCAGGUUGUGGCCAUGGGGAGACAAGGUAGGACGGAUGUGGAGCGUAACCAAUUAUAUCACCUGUAAGAUCAACUUGCAACCCGAAUUUCCACCAACUACUAUAGGCUCGAUUC